GAAUUUUUAAUAUAAUUAGUAUAUUAAACUGUUUAUUUAAUUGUUAUAAAUUCU
RNAcentral lists this transfer RNA (54 nucleotides) under Heliconema longissimum. RNAcentral describes it as "tRNA-Asn". The record is from RNAcentral. Lineage: Eukaryota; Metazoa; Nematoda; Chromadorea; Rhabditida; Physalopteridae.